This 886-nucleotide long non-coding RNA is filed under the name Bos indicus x Bos taurus (hybrid cattle). Its description in RNAcentral is "lncRNA (ENSBIXG00000024173.1)". The record is from RNAcentral. Lineage: Eukaryota; Metazoa; Chordata; Mammalia; Artiodactyla; Bovidae.
CGACUCAUGAAAGCUGAGAGAGGGUCAAGUCAGCCCUUGUUCCUCACAUGGUUUAUGCUGUGAGCAAGCCUUCUGCGUUCGAGGAGCUUGGAGAAGCUGCCAGGCUGUAGAUCAGAAGUGGGGCUGGCAGUUCUGGGGCCCUCUGGGCAGCAUCUCUGUGGGGUGAGUCUUCCGACUGCCUCCUGGAGUCCCAUGGCUAUUCUAAAUCUGCAGUGUGCAAGGGAAAAAGACGGAAGAAGAGAAGGAAAAGGAGGAAGAGGAGAACAAGAAAGCAUCCAGAGAGAAAGGGAUGAAGGAGGCGGUGGACGUGGUGGGGUCUGGAGCCGUCCAACUGCCUCUUGCCUGGAGACUAGGACCCAGGACCGCCUGGGAAGACCCACAGGAGGAGGACACAUGUGUGCUCCCUUCCACGUCCGCAGCUCACGGUGCUUCUUUUAAAGCUGUCAACAAGAUCUGUCCUGGUUUUCCUUCAUGUUGGCACCGUCCUUUGAAGGUCUAAGAUGGUCCAUUAGUGUGGAAAUUGGAAAGAUACUAGGCUGGGAGCCGGCCACAAUGUACCUGGGGUGGAGAUGGAAAUCCAAAGGUGACAGAUCACCCAGAGGGAUGUGGCACCGUGCAGGGCCCUGCGGGCGCCUGGGCACAGGACCUCGUGCUCCUAUUUCUUUGAUUCUGGGAAGCAGCCUUCAUUCAGCCUCCAUGAUCUUUCCUGAGGUCCAAAAGUGAAGAGGAACUCAAAAGCCUCUGGAUGAAAGUGAAAGUGGAAAGUGAAAAAGUUGGCUUAAAGCUCAACAUUCAGAAAACGAAAAUCAUGGCAUCCGGUCCCAUCACUUCAUGGGAAACAGAUGGGGAAACAGUGGAAACAGUGUCAGACUUUAUUUUUGGGGGC